UGCUGAGCGCAUGCGUAUACAUGCAGUCGUAACAGGUACCACAAUGAUCGGUGCUUGCACCGAGAUUCAACAUGGAACGAGUGGCGGACGGGUGAGUAACACGUGGGUAACCUGCCCUUAAGUGGGGGAUAACAUUUGGAAACAGAUGCUAAUACCGCAUAGAUCCAAGAACCGCAUGGUUCUUGGCUGAAAGAUGGCGUAAGCUAUCGCUUUUGGAUGGACCCGCGGCGUAUUAGCUAGUUGGUGAGGUAAUGGCUCACCAAGGCGAUGAUACGUAGCCGAACUGAGAGGUUGAUCGGCCACAUUGGGACUGAGACACGGCCCAAACUCCUACGGGAGGCAGCAGUAGGGAAUCUUCCACAAUGGACGCAAGUCUGAUGGAGCAACGCCGCGUGAGUGAAGAAGGCUUUCGGGUCGUAAAACUCUGUUGUUGGAGAAGAAUGGUCGGCAGAGUAACUGUUGUCGGCGUGACGGUAUCCAACCAGAAAGCCACGGCUAACUACGUGCCAGCAGCCGCGGUAAUACGUAGGUGGCAAGCGUUAUCCGGAUUUAUUGGGCGUAAAGCGAGCGCAGGCGGUUUUUUAAGUCUGAUGUGAAAGCCCUCGGCUUAACCGAGGAAGCGCAUCGGAAACUGGGAAACUUGAGUGCAGAAGAGGACAGUGGAACUCCAUGUGUAGCGGUGAAAUGCGUAGAUAUAUGGAAGAACACCAGUGGCGAAGGCGGCUGUCUGGUCUGUAACUGACGCUGAGGCUCGAAAGCAUGGGUAGCGAACAGGAUUAGAUACCCUGGUAGUCCAUGCCGUAAACGAUGAAUGCUAGGUGUUGGAGGGUUUCCGCUCCUUCAGUGCCGCAGCUAACGCAUUAAGCAUUCCGCCUGGGGAGUACGACCGCAAGGUUGCAACUCAAAGGAAUUGACGGGGGCCCGCACAAGCGGUGGAGCAUGUGGUUUAAUUCUAAAGCAACGCGCAGAACCUUACCAGGUCCUGACAUCUUUUGAUCAUCUGAGAGAUCCGGAUUUCCCCUUCGGGGGCAAAAUGUACAGGUGGUGCAUGGGUGUCGUCAGCUCCUGUCCUGAAAAUGUUGGGUUAAGUCCCGCAACGAGCGCACCCCUUAUGACUAGUUGCCAGCCUUUAAUGUGGGCCCUCUAGAAGAACUGCCGGUGAACAAACCGCAGGAAGGUGGGGAUAACCCAAAUUUCUGCCCCUUUUUAACUGGGGUCCACCAUUUCCAUUGGAGGGAAACAAUUUCGG
This 1249-nucleotide ribosomal RNA is filed under the name Lacticaseibacillus paracasei. RNAcentral's name for it is "bacterial SSU rRNA". It matches the Rfam family "Bacterial small subunit ribosomal RNA", at positions 34 to 1249 of the family's 1533-position model. The record is from RNAcentral. Lineage: Bacteria; Bacillati; Bacillota; Bacilli; Lactobacillales; Lactobacillaceae.